Molecule: ribosomal RNA, 448 nt
Filed under: Salmonella enterica subsp. enterica serovar Typhimurium
Lineage: Bacteria; Pseudomonadati; Pseudomonadota; Gammaproteobacteria; Enterobacterales; Enterobacteriaceae
Description: partial 23S ribosomal RNA
Rfam family: Bacterial large subunit ribosomal RNA
Source: RNAcentral
CAUCUAAGUACCCCGAGGAAAAGAAAUCAACCGAGAUUCCCCCAGUAGCGGCGAGCGAACGGGGAGGAGCCCAGAGCCUGAAUCAGCAUGUGUGUUAGUGGAAGCGUCUGGAAAGGCGCGCGAUACAGGGUGACAGCCCCGUACACAAAAGCGCAUGUGCUGUGAGCUCGAUGAGUAGGGCGGGACACGUGGUAUCCUGUCUGAAUAUGGGGGGACCAUCCUCCAAGGCUAAAUACUCCUGACUGACCGAUAGUGAACCAGUACCGUGAGGGAAAGGCGAAAAGAACCCCGGCGAGGGGAGUGAAAAAGAACCUGAAACCGUGUACGUACAAGCAGUGGGAGCACCCUUCGGGGUGUGACUGCGUACCUUUUGUAUAAUGGGUCAGCGACUUAUAUUCUGUAGCAAGGUUAACCGUAUAGGGGAGCCGGAGGGAAACCGAGUCUUAAC